This 253-nucleotide ribosomal RNA is filed under the name uncultured bacterium. RNAcentral's name for it is "partial 16S ribosomal RNA". It matches the Rfam family "Bacterial small subunit ribosomal RNA", at positions 524 to 776 of the family's 1533-position model. The record is from RNAcentral.
UACGAAGGGGGCUAGCGUUGCUCGGAAUCACUGGGCGUAAAGCGCACGUAGGCGGGUCUUUAAGUCAGGGGUGAAAUCCUGGAGCUCAACUCCAGAACUGCCUUUGAUACUGAGGAUCUCGAGUCCGGGAGAGGUGAGUGGAACUCCGAGUGUAGAGGUGAAAUUCGUAGAUAUUCGGAAGAACACCAGUGGCGAAGGCGGCUCACUGGCCCGGCACUGACGCUGAUGUGCGAAAGCGUGGGGAGCAAACAGG